UGUGCAAAAAACUUUUAUUCAAUCUCUUUUCAACCUGUUAAGUAUUGUAAAACACUUUUCAUGUAUAGUUUUAACAUUUACAUUUGUUGUGGUCAGAUGCCGUUACCAAAGUGACCUACAAAAAAGUUCUAUAUAUAUAUGUGUGGAGGAUUGUGAUAUAAAUCGGCAAACUCAAUUUUAUUAGUCAGUGGUUGUAAAUAAACAGCUUUUUACUCUAUAUGUGUGUAAAUCAUGAUCAGUGUUAUGUAUUAGAGAAUCUUAGAGUAUUGUUUUGUUUUUUUGAUCCUUUAAAUGUCUUGCUUAGCUGUAUUUUAAUUUAGAUCAUGUUGGUGUCUGUACUGAGGUUUACCAAUGCUAGCUAGUCUUGUGCUCAUUUCCCAAGAGUCAGGAAAUAGUAACAGAAAAGUUUUUUUCCCAAGUUCUUAUCUGUCAUGUAAUAAUAAUCCUUUUAAAAACCAAGCUGAAGGACUGGAAUCACUGCCAUAGUAUUAUUAAAGAUAUCAAUUUGUACUGUGUUCUGUUGUAAUUUAGAACUAAAUUUUUCAUUUCAUCUCGGAACAUUUACCAAUUAAAUGUUAUUUGAAUCAUU
Long non-coding RNA from Carassius carassius (crucian carp), 589 nucleotides. RefSeq lists it as uncharacterized. The transcript has 2 exons. Lineage: Eukaryota; Metazoa; Chordata; Actinopteri; Cypriniformes; Cyprinidae. The record is from RefSeq and is a predicted model, not a curated record.